This 465-nucleotide ribosomal RNA is filed under the name uncultured bacterium. RNAcentral describes it as "partial 16S ribosomal RNA". It matches the Rfam family "Bacterial small subunit ribosomal RNA", at positions 28 to 507 of the family's 1533-position model. The record is from RNAcentral.
GACGAACGCUGGCGGCGUGCUUAACACAUGCAAGUCGAACGGAAAGGCCCCUUUGGGGGUACUCGAGUGGCGCACGGGUGAGUAACACGUGAGUAACCUGCCCUUGACUUCGGGAUAACUUCAGGAAACUGGGGCUAAUACCGGAUAGGAAUCCUUGCUGCAUGGUGGGGGUUGGAAAGCUUCGGCGGUUUUGGAUGGACUCGCGGCUUAUCAGCUUGUUGGUGGGGUAGUGGCUUACCAAGGCUUUGACGGGUAGCCGGCCUGAGAGGGCGACCGGCCACAUUGGGACUGAGAUACGGCCCAGACUCCUACGGGAGGCAGCAGUGGGGAAUAUUGCACAAUGGGCGGAAGCCUGAUGCAGCAACGCCGCGUGCGGGAUGACGGCCUUCGGGUUGUAAACCGCUUUCAGCAGGGGCGAAGCUUGUGGUGACGGUACCUGCAGAAGAAGCACCGGCUAACUACGUA